Molecule: long non-coding RNA, 980 nt
Organism: Biomphalaria glabrata
Lineage: Eukaryota; Metazoa; Mollusca; Gastropoda; Planorbidae
Exons: 6
Source: RefSeq, a predicted model, not a curated record
GAAAGACUGUGCCGCUGGUCAAUGUGUAGGCUACCCGGUCACGUGGCUUACUUACAAUUGACCAACCAGAGACAGGUCUACAUGAUAGGCUACAGCCUAUUGCAUCAUUAAGAAAAAUAGCGCCAGAACCAAACACCAUGACCAUCCCAUUCCAGUCAUAGUACUCAUAGAUCUACUUCAAGAUUGUGUUGAUUUGUGAUUAACUCGACUCUAUUCUAACAACUUUGGAAUGUGUGCGUCAAGCAAAGACUCUGGGAACCAAAGAGUGAAAGAAUGAUGGCAUCACUAUGAUCACUUCUUGCUGGAUCUGUCCAAGAGUCAAUGAGUACAGGUGGACCAUGUUGGAAAAUAACUUUCAGUCAAGACUCAAGUUGAGACAAGAGCUCCAUUGAUGUUAUUGAUCAAACUGAACAUGUUCUAGAGAUACUGGAGAAAAGAUUUGAGUGCAGUACAGACUCAUUAAUUAAAAGAAGCAGAGAUAAAUACAAUCAGGAUUGGGUAUGAAGCAAAUUUCCCAAUGGCAAAUAAUGUAUCACUGUUGGAAAUAGAAGUGAAACUGAAGUAUGAAGAUUCUCAUGAAAAUUUGAUCUAUCCAGUGAAAACAGCAUUAAGAGAACAAUAGUAUGGAUUAUAACUUGGCUGGACUGGACAUGGCACAAACAGAAAAUAAAUGUAUUGAAUUUUCAAUCCAAAUUAUGGAUAUUAGAUUAUUCAAGUGAGUUACCCAAGUCUGCUGUCAAAUCAAAUAACUUAGAGAAAGUACUUGAACUUGGCACAUGUGAUGGCACAGAAAUCGUAAAAAAAGAAGGAUGAUGGCUUCAACUCUGAAGGAACAUCCCAAACAUGUAAAACAUUUUACAAACAAACCUAAUCAAAGUUUAUAAAUGUUUAAAAAAAGUAAGAUGCACAAGCAAAUUUAUUUACAUACUACAGAUAUUAGAACUAAUGACUAAUGGAAAAAAAAAACUACCUAUCUAGAC